Molecule: ribosomal RNA, 253 nt
Filed under: uncultured bacterium
Lineage: Bacteria
Description: partial 16S ribosomal RNA
Rfam family: Bacterial small subunit ribosomal RNA
Source: RNAcentral
UACGGAGGGGGCUAGCGUUGUUCGGAAUUACUGGGCGUAAAGCGCACGUAGGCGGCUUUGCAAGUUAGAGGUGAAAGCCCGGGGCUCAACUCCGGAAUUGCCUUUAAAACUGCAUCGCUAGAAUUGUGGAGAGGUAAGUGGAAUUCCGAGUGUAGAGGUGAAAUUCGUAGAUAUUCGGAAGAACACCAGUGGCGAAGGCGACAUACUGGUCCGUUACUGACGCUGAGGCUCGAAAGCGUGGGGAGCAAACAGG